UACGGAGGGUGCAAGCGUUAAUCGGAAUUACUGGGCGUAAAGCGUACGCAGGCGGUUUGUCAAGUCGGAUGUGAAAUCCCCGGGCUUAACCUGGGAACUGCAUUUGAAACUGGCAGACUAGAGUCUUGCAGAGGGGGGUAGAAUUCCAGGUGUAGCGGUGAAAUGCGUAGAGAUGUGGAGGAAUACCAGUGGCGAAGGCGGCCCCCUGGACAAAGACUGACGCUCAGGUGCGAAAGCGUGGGGAGCAAACAGG
This 253-nucleotide ribosomal RNA is filed under the name uncultured bacterium. Its description in RNAcentral is "partial 16S ribosomal RNA". It matches the Rfam family "Bacterial small subunit ribosomal RNA", at positions 524 to 776 of the family's 1533-position model. The record is from RNAcentral.